UACGUAGGUGGCGAGCGUUGUCCGGAUUUACUGGGCGUAAAGAGCGCGCAGGCGGUCGUUCAAGUUGCGUGUGAAAGCCCCCGGCUCAACUGGGGAGGGUCACGCGAUACUGAUCGACUCGAAGGCAGGAGAGGGAAGUGGAAUUCCCGGUGUAGUGGUGAAAUGCGUAGAGAUCGGGAAGAACAUCGGUGGCGAAAGCGCUCUGCUGGACUGCAACUGACACUCAGGGACGAAAGCUAGGGGAGCGAAUGGG
RNAcentral lists this ribosomal RNA (253 nucleotides) under uncultured bacterium. RNAcentral describes it as "partial 16S ribosomal RNA". It matches the Rfam family "Bacterial small subunit ribosomal RNA", at positions 524 to 776 of the family's 1533-position model. The record is from RNAcentral.